CUGUGGUACACGCCGCGCGCGCUCCCUACCCUCACUCGCGAAACUGUACAUAGAAAACACCCACAGUGGAAAAGUGAACGAAAAAACACCCAGUGAUUUUAAAAUUCGAAUAAACGUUUAGUUUAAUUUUUCUUCUUCUUCAAUAGUUACGUGAUUACGAAAUUAGUGAUUGCUCGAAUUAUUAGGUUUUCGCGUGCUGGUCAUAGUAUGAAAGUUAUCCGUAAUAUCGUAGUGUAGUGAAGUGUAUGUAAUUGAUAACAUAGAAGUUCUUCACUGAUAUUUUCUUCAACUGUUAAAAGAUAAAAUUUCUUCCAACAUUCCGCAACUAUGGAGGUGCUAGGUGCUGCUCGAAGUGAACAGAAUGCGCAUACGCUUAGAAUACAAACUGACACCUAUUUGUAUAGUUGAGCACCCACCGAAGAUGGUUAAGUAGUUUAGACUGUAAUUAAGUGAAAAAUGAGCUUAUAAGUUAAGUAUAUGUCCGGAGAAAGGAUGCCUUAUUACGGGUAUCGCGAGGGG
Pectinophora gossypiella (pink bollworm) is the source of this 519-nucleotide long non-coding RNA. RefSeq lists it as uncharacterized. The record is from RefSeq and is a predicted model, not a curated record. NCBI's taxonomy places the organism in Eukaryota, Metazoa, Arthropoda, Insecta, Lepidoptera, Gelechiidae. The transcript has 3 exons.